ACGUAAACGUAGGAUUUACGUCUGACUUAAGAUUAGAGUUACGUACUCGUGAAAUGGUAUUUACAAAACCGUUCGUAGCCGCAAACGUAACUUACGAUGUACGAUUGCACGUACGCGUGCGCAGUGGCUAUUUUCACUUCGAAGCGUAAAAAGUGUGAAUUUGCUCAUUUACUUUGACUUCCCUGCGCUACCGCCGCAUUAUGACGAAAAAGAACACAGAACUUUGUGAGAAAGCAACGAAUUUCAACGUAUACGUAUGCCUGCCAACGGCAUGUCGAUCAACUGUACCGCUAUUCAGUGUUGUUUACAAAUCCAAAUGGAAGGUUCAUCAAAUUUAACGCAUUUGACUUGUGCAUGGAUCUGCGAUGCUGUAGGUCUUCAAAAAGAAGUCGGCAUGGACUGACAAGGUCAUAAAGGUGGUCAAGAAAUAAAUUGCCAAAAGACAGCAGCAUUCCUUGAUUUAGAUACAUUUCUCUUCAUGUCCUCUCCUGAAAGAUUUUCCAUGAUGCUUCAGGGUUAGGACUGGGAUGCAAGAUGUACAGUACAUAUAUAUGAUGUCUAUGGGUACAUUGCUGUAAUGGCCUGAAAAAUCUUUUGCGAAACCGAGAAAUGUUCAUCUUCCAUUGCCAUGAUUGUGUAAAAGGACGAGCAGAGGAAUGAUUCAAAAAUAUAUGGCAGGAUUGAGAAUCUAACCCAUGACCCGUAGUCUGGUACUCUACCCACUGAUCAAUCCAUGCUGAUGGUCCAUCUGCUACAUUGAUGUCAUCUUAUAUAUUUAUUUAUUCAUUUAUAUAUCAUAUGGGCAUUUAAAAAUUGACAGUAAAAUAAAAAAAAGUUUGAUAUUCAGCAAAAUAGAAUUUGUUACAAUACAUGUUUAAGAAAUUAAGUACAUGUACAUGCAUUGUUAUGCACACAAUUAUGUACAUGUAAUUAUAUUUGUUAAUAGAUAAAUUCUUAGAUGAAUUUUCAUGUUGUUAUUGAUAUUGACAUGUACAUGUAUUACUUCCAUUUCUAGAAUGAUUUUAACAUCUUGAUAUUAAAAUGAUGACAUAAUAAAUAAAUCUUAAAUAUUUGUCAA
Ostrea edulis (European flat oyster) is the source of this 1078-nucleotide long non-coding RNA. RefSeq lists it as uncharacterized. NCBI's taxonomy places the organism in Eukaryota, Metazoa, Mollusca, Bivalvia, Ostreida, Ostreidae. The record is from RefSeq and is a predicted model, not a curated record. The transcript is spliced from 3 exons.